Molecule: ribosomal RNA, 674 nt
Filed under: uncultured Actinomycetes bacterium
Lineage: Bacteria; Bacillati; Actinomycetota; Actinomycetes
Description: bacterial SSU rRNA
Rfam family: Bacterial small subunit ribosomal RNA
Source: RNAcentral
AGAGUUUGAUCAUGGCUCAGGACGAACGCUGGCGGCGCGCCUAAUCCAUGCAAGUCGAGCGACGCAUUCCUUAGCCCGUAAGGGCGGGUUUGACGGAGCGGCGAACGGGUGCGUAACACGUGACCAAUCUGCCCCGAAGACCGGGAUAGCCCGGGGAAACCCGGAUUAAUACCGGAUGAUCUCACCACCACGCAUGUGGAGGUGAGCAAAGGCUCAGGCGCUUCGGGAUGAGGUCGCGGCCCAUCAGCUUGUUGGUGAGGUAACGGCUCACCAAGGCAAUUACGGGUAGCUGGUCUGAGAGGACGAUCAGCCACACUGGAACUGAGAUACGGUCCAGACUCCUACGGGAGGCAGCAGGAGGGAAUCUUGCGCAAUGGGCGAAAGCCUGACGCAGCGACGCCGCGUGGGGGAUGAAUGCCUUAGGGUUGUAAACCCCUUUCACGAGGGAAGAAACUGACGGUACCUCGAGAAGAAGCCCCGGCCAACUACGUGCCAGCAGCCGCGGUAAUACGUAGGGGGCGAGCGUUGUCCGGAUUUAUUGGGCGUAAAGGGCUCGUAGGCGGCUUGGCAAGUCGGCCGUGAAAACCCAGGGCUCAACUCUGGGACGCCGGUCGAUACUGCCAUGGCUAGGGUCCGGUAGAGGGNAAUGGAAUUCCCGGUGUAGCGGUGAAAUG